CUUUUGAUAAUAAUUUAAGGUCUGGCCUGCCCACUGAGGAAUUAAAUGGCCGCGGUAGCCUGACCGUGCAAAGGUAGCAUAAUCAAUUGUUUCUUAAUUAGAAGCUUGAAUGAAAGGUUUGAUGAGAAAAUAACUGUCUCUAAGUUAAUUUGAUAAAAUUUUAUUUUUAAGUGAAAAAGCUUAAAUGUGUUUAGAAGACGAGAAGACCCUAURGAGUUUAAUAAACUAAUAUUAAGGVAUUUUUGGUAUUAAAAUAUUUUUGAAUAUUAUUUUAUUUAGCUGGGGUGGCAGAAAAAUUAAUUUAACUUUUUUAUAAAUAAAACACUAAUUUGUGAGUUUUUUAUCCAAAAUGAUGAAAAUAGAAAAAACUACCUUAGGGAUAACAGCGUAAUUUUUUUUUAGAGUUCAAAUCGAAAAAAGAGAUUGCGACCUCGAUGUUGGAUUAAAAUUAAUUUCUGGUGAAGAAGCUAGG
This 472-nucleotide ribosomal RNA is filed under the name Ocladius sp. JR-2002. RNAcentral describes it as "partial 16S ribosomal RNA". It matches the Rfam family "Bacterial large subunit ribosomal RNA", at positions 1822 to 2566 of the family's 2925-position model. The record is from RNAcentral. Lineage: Eukaryota; Metazoa; Arthropoda; Insecta; Coleoptera; Brachyceridae.